Molecule: long non-coding RNA, 583 nt
Filed under: Felis catus (domestic cat)
Lineage: Eukaryota; Metazoa; Chordata; Mammalia; Carnivora; Felidae
Description: lncRNA (ENSFCAG00000048120.1)
Source: RNAcentral
AUGCAGGUCACCAAAUCCUCAAUAUCCUCUGGCCCAUGUUCAUAUCAAGGAACAGUCCCUGAGUUAUACUUGAGCAGCACCAACAUGGUACUGACAGGGAUUGUGGUCUUUCUAGGUGUCCCCGAGGAGGAAAGACGGCGGCACCAUCCUGUCCGGAGUCACCAGGCUGUUGCUGAGGUAGCCGUAGGAGCACGAGAAGAAGGUGUCGCGAAGCUGAAAAAGCGGCGGCCCCUUCCUGAAACGAGGCAGCAGGCUGGUGCUGAGGUGAGCUUGCCUGUCUUUCCCUGAGGAGCACAAUUGCUUUCUUAGAGGCUUUCCAAUCAACCUCUGUUGUACAUAUGACAGUCUACAUUUUCGAGGAUACUGUUACUUUCCCGGAUGGGGACAGUGGUGGGUGUGUGUGUGUGUGUGUGUGUGUGUGUGUGUGUGUGUGUGUGUGUGUGUGUGUGUGUGUGUGUGUGUGUGUGUGUGUGUGUGUGUGUGUGUGUGUGUGUGUGUGUGUGUGUGUGUGUGUGUGUGUGUGUGUGUGUGUGUGUGUGUGUGUGUGUGUGUGUGUGUGUGUGUGUGUGUGUGUGUGUGUGUG